CCUAGUCACACCCUCUCCCUCCCCCCACACAUCUCCCCAAAAAUACACAUCUAUUUUUGGGGAGAUGUGUGGGGGGAGGGAGAGGGUGUGACUAGG
Molecule: microRNA precursor, 96 nt
Filed under: Pelobates cultripes (western spadefoot toad)
Lineage: Eukaryota; Metazoa; Chordata; Amphibia; Anura; Pelobatidae
Source: RNAcentral